GAUGAACGCUGGCGGCGUGCCUAAUACAUGCAAGUCGAGCGAACGGACGAGAAGCUUGCUUCUCUGAUGUUAGCGGCAGACGGGUGAGUAACACGUGGAUAACCUACCUAUAAGACUGGGAUAACUUCGGGAAACCGGAGCUAAUACCGGAUAAUAUUUUGAACCGCAUGGUUCAAAAGUGAAAGACGGUCUUGCUGUCACUUAUAGAUGGAUCCGCGCUGCAUUAGCUAGUUGGUAAGGUAACGGCUUACCAAGGCAACGAUGCAUAGCCGACCUGAGAGGGUGAUCGGCCACACUGGAACUGAGACACGGUCCAGACUCCUACGGGAGGCAGCAGUAGGGAAUCUUCCGCAAUGGGCGAAAGCCUGACGGAGCAACGCCGCGUGAGUGAUGAAGGUCUUCGGAUCGUAAAACUCUGUUAUUAGGGAAGAACAUAUGUGUAAGUAACUGUGCACAUCUUGACGGUACCUAAUCAGAAGGCCACGGCUAACUACGUG
This 497-nucleotide ribosomal RNA is filed under the name uncultured bacterium. RNAcentral describes it as "partial 16S ribosomal RNA". It matches the Rfam family "Bacterial small subunit ribosomal RNA", at positions 28 to 507 of the family's 1533-position model. The record is from RNAcentral.